UGUGCUUUUAUGGGUUCAGGCAAAGCAGGAGUGGAUUGUGGUUGGUUUGGAUUUGCUUGAAAUUGAACUUCUUUUAGCAAACUAGAGAAUGCAGUAUUUUUGAGAACUGUUUAGCAUAUUUGAUUAGACUUCUAAAAUAAAGCCAGAUUGAUAUUCAACUUCAGUAAAAAUACCUGAAGAAUUUUUAACUGAUGCAAAGUUCUUUUGUCUUUAAGAGAUGACCUAAAACCUCAAGGAUUUUGACAAACCUCAAGAAAUAUGUCCUCUGAAACAGAAUUUCUACUUGCGAAGGAUCAUCAGAAUAGACAGAUGAUUAGAGCAUUGAGACCCAGUGACACUCCAAAUAAGGAGCAGCCAAGAGGGAAACUUCUGCUUGUUUCUGUCACAUAUAGAAUAAGUUCUUGAGAGCAAGAGACAAAGCACCCAGGAUAUUCUGCUGUUGGACCUAGCUGUGGACUCAGAGAGAGACCAAGUGCGUAGAUGAACUGAAACAGCAAUGACUGGAGUGCCAAAAUAUCUCAGGAGAGUUGAGCGGAUACCUGUCAGUUAAGCUGAUGGUGGAAGUACCGCCCACCACAGAUGAACUGGAGGAGACAGAGAGGAAUGGCAGGAAGAACGAGAGGAGCGCUGGCCCGAGGCAGUGGCUGCCAGUGUGAGCCCUGAGGUCCAAACAGGUCAGGUUUUUCUGGGUCAUAUCUCCUACAGUGUAACGCCUGAGCGAGUGUCAGUGGGGAACAGGGUAUUAACAUUGCAACUUCUUUAAGACUUCUGGUAAGCUCAGUAUCUUUUCUGUCUUGAUAGGCCUGCCAAGAUUUGUGUGCAUUGCCUAGCAGUGUGCUUAACAGUCAGAUUUUCCUUCAUCUACUCUAGAUUUUUCCUAAUAAAAGGUGAUGAAACUUUUGUGGUGUGCCAGCCCCCCUCACACAUUACUGAUUGACAGCACUGAGCUGGGCCUCCUACAGUAGCAACUGGGUUGGGCUCUAUUCCUUUCUCUAGCUUUUUAAUAUUUUUUCAUCAGUUUAACAAUCAGUUUAGUUAAAGGGCUGCAGAAGUUGUUUGCAGGUCAGUCCUUACACAGUCCAGGCACAUUGAAUACAGAGAAUAACUCCUGAUGCUCGCUGAUUUUAGUGAGAGAAGAAUCAAGCCUGUUGUUUAUCUAUCUUGGAAGAAAAAUGAAGAGGAGAAAUGUGCGUGUGAUGAGGAGAGGGAUAAUGAGGGGGAAGGACAAAACAACAGUUCAAGCAGCAUAUGUGCUGACCUCAAAUCAUUGAAUACAUCCUGUUCAUGUGGUAUAUGUAUGUGAUGAGGUUUGUGCUUGCAAAUUCUGUGACUACCUGUGCAUAUCAACUCAGUGUAAUCUUUUGUGCAGUUAAUAGCAGUAAAUGAUCAACUUAGAUUUUCCAGAUUGUCUGGAGGUUAAAUUUCUUUAAAUCCCUUUGGGUGGAGGUAAAGUGAGUGCAUAGCUUGGGCUGUGUGCUGUGACCUGUAACAGGAUCUUGCUGGAAUACACUAGCAUGGGUGGCCUUCAGGAAGGAAGGCAGAUGUUUAUUGAUAUGAGGGGAGUGUAAG
Molecule: non-coding RNA, 1569 nt
Organism: Struthio camelus australis
Lineage: Eukaryota; Metazoa; Chordata; Aves; Struthioniformes; Struthionidae
Source: RefSeq, a predicted model, not a curated record